GCUGUUCUCCCUGAGCUCGCCGCCCCGGCCCCGCUCGGCCCCUCCUCC
This 48-nucleotide ribosomal RNA is filed under the name Cryptomonas paramaecium. RNAcentral describes it as "Cryptomonas paramecium partial Eukaryotic large subunit ribosomal RNA". Lineage: Eukaryota; Cryptophyceae; Cryptomonadales; Cryptomonadaceae. The record is from RNAcentral.